ACGUAGGGGGCGAGCGUUAUUCGGAAUUACUGGGUGUAAAGGGUAUGUAGGCGGCCCUUCAAGUCGCGUGUCAAAGUCCAGUGCUCAACGCUGGGUGUGCGCGCGAUACUGACGAGCUUGAGGGUUGGAGAGGUGAGUGGAAUUCCCGGUGUAGUGGUAAAAUACGUAGAUAUCGGGAAGAAUACCGGCGGCGCAGGCGUCUCACUAGGCAAUUACUGACGCUGAGAUACGAAAGCGUGGGGAGCAAACAG
This 251-nucleotide ribosomal RNA is filed under the name uncultured prokaryote. RNAcentral describes it as "partial 16S rRNA". It matches the Rfam family "Bacterial small subunit ribosomal RNA", at positions 525 to 775 of the family's 1533-position model. The record is from RNAcentral.